AUACAACGAAGAGUUUGAUCCUGGCUCAGGAUGAACGCUAGCGACAGGCCUAACACAUGCAAGUCGAGGGGCAACAUGGUAUCAGCUUGCUGAUACCGAUGGCGACCGGCGCACGGGUGAGUAACGCGUAUGUAAUCUACCUGUAACAGAGGGAUAACCCGGAGAAAUCCGGACUAAUACCUCAUAGCACAUAUUAUUCGCAUGAAUUUUAUGUUAAAGAGACUCGGUUACAGAUGAACAUGCGUUCCAUUAGCUGGUUGGCGGGGUCACGGCCCACCAAGGCUACGAUGGAUAGGGGUUCUGAGAGGAAGGUCCCCCACACUGGUACUGAGACACGGACCAGACUCCUACGGGAGGCAGCAGUGAGGAAUAUUGGUCAAUGGGCGGAAGCCUGAACCAGCCAAGUCGCGUGGAGGAAGACGGCCCUACGGGUUGUAAACUCCUUUUACCUGGGAAUAACGGGCGCUACGCGUAGCGCUGUGCAUGUACCAGGCGAAUAAGCAUCGGCUAAUUCCGUGCCAGCAGCCGCGGUAAUACGGAAGAUGCGAGCGUUAUCCGGAUUUAUUGGGUUUAAAGGGUGCGUAGGCGGAAGAAUAAGUCAGCGGUGAAAUGCUUCAGCUCAACUGGAGAAUUGCCGAUGAAACUGUUUUUCUAGAGUAUAAAAGAGGUAUGCGGAAUGCGUGGUGUAGCGGUGAAAUGCAUAGAUAUCACGCAGAACCCCGAUUGCGAAGGCAGCAUACUGGGCUAUAACUGACGCUGAAGCACGAAAGCGUGGGUAUCGAACAGGAUUAGAUACCCUGGUAGUCCACGCCGUAAACGAUGAAUACUAACUGUUUGCGAUAUAAUGUAAGCGGUACAGCGAAAGCGUUAAGUAUUCCACCUGGGGAGUACGCCGGCAACGGUGAAAC
RNAcentral lists this ribosomal RNA (908 nucleotides) under Coprobacter fastidiosus. Its description in RNAcentral is "bacterial SSU rRNA". It matches the Rfam family "Bacterial small subunit ribosomal RNA", at positions 1 to 900 of the family's 1533-position model. Lineage: Bacteria; Pseudomonadati; Bacteroidota; Bacteroidia; Bacteroidales; Barnesiellaceae. The record is from RNAcentral.